This 76-nucleotide transfer RNA is filed under the name Enterococcus gallinarum. RNAcentral's name for it is "tRNA-Lys". It matches the Rfam family "tRNA". Rfam says of the family: Transfer RNA (tRNA) molecules are approximately 80 nucleotides in length. Lineage: Bacteria; Bacillati; Bacillota; Bacilli; Lactobacillales; Enterococcaceae. The record is from RNAcentral.
UCAGGAAUUAGCUCAGUUUGGUAGAGCGUCAGAUUUUUAAUCUGAAGAUCGUAGGUUCAAAUCCUACAUUCCUGAU